RNAcentral lists this long non-coding RNA (1200 nucleotides) under Nicotiana benthamiana. Its description in RNAcentral is "long non-coding RNA (NBEN_LNC025265)". The record is from RNAcentral. Lineage: Eukaryota; Viridiplantae; Streptophyta; Magnoliopsida; Solanales; Solanaceae.
CACAAUUUUGUAAUAAUAGUCAAAACCCACAAUAUUUAUUUAUUUUCUAAAUAGAAGUAGAUGUGGUCUAGCUCCAGUUACGUUUUCUCCCCAAAUCUAAAUCCUUUUCACUUUUCCUUUAGCUCCAAUCAAGUUUUUCCCCAAUUACUCUAAUCCAUUAUCCCCAUUUCCCCUUUUUCAUUUCAAUCUAGCUACGGUCGCAUUUUCCCCAAAUCUUAAUCCUUUUCACUUUCCCUUAUCUCCAAUUACGUUUUCGAUUUUUUCCAAAUCACACUAAUUUCUCAGAUCCAUUUUCCCCUUUUAAUUUCACACAUUGAAAUCCCUUAAAUCCAGUCGUCCGGUGAGAGAUCUUCAGAUGAUCUUUGUCCGUUUUGCUAACAUUCAGGCUAUCUGCUCAGCAUCGUCUUAUUCAACCCAUGAACUCGGCAGUCGGUGAUUUCUAUAGCAAAAAAUCUUCGACGCAAAAUGCACUUCGUCAGAAACUGAUUUUAGCUGUAAGUUUUUCUUUUUCAAUUUGGGUAUUUUUUUUAUUUAAUCGUUCCUUUUUUCUAUAAUAAUUAGGGUGUGGUGGUGUAUUUAAUAUCUUGCUUUCUGUUAAUUUUUAGAACCCCUAUUGUGAGGGUUUUAUUUUCAUCAGGGUGUGGCUAGUGUGAGUCUAAACUUUUAGAACUAAUGUUCGUAUAGAUAAUCUGCCAAAGAUGAUUUUUCAAAGAGGUCAGUCUUUCAGUUAUGUUUGCUUUUGACAUCUUGAAUUUAUUAACACUUUGAUCUUAGUCUGUUUUUCUGUAUUGCAUUUCCUCUAUAUUUGGAUUUUUCCAGAAGUUGACUCUAAACAUUAGUGUAUGAAUUUUAUGUUAAGGUCUUUGCAUUGAAUUAGUGCUUCAUGCUAGGUGUAGCUGCAAUAAAACCUGUCAAAUUAUGUCUAUUUACUAACAACCAAGAAUUAUUGCUUCAUGCUUGGUUUCUCUUAAUUAGCAGCAAAGUUUGGAGCUUAGCGCUCAAGUCGUGUGAUAAUUUUUCAUGAAGUGAUCAUUCAGUAAGUUUCUAAAGGAAAAGCAUGACCAGGAAAAUGAUUAGAAAAUUACUUUUAAUGUCAAUUGUAGUCAAGAUUACUGUCCCUAUACAUCUAAAAAAAUUAUUCUUUUUGUUAUGAAAUAAUAUAAAAGACAAGAACAAUAACUCAAGAACAAGAGCAAAUAG